RNAcentral lists this ribosomal RNA (440 nucleotides) under uncultured bacterium. RNAcentral describes it as "bacterial SSU rRNA". It matches the Rfam family "Bacterial small subunit ribosomal RNA", at positions 28 to 490 of the family's 1533-position model. The record is from RNAcentral.
GACGAACGCUGGCGGCGUGCUUAACACAUGCAAGUCGAACGGUAAGGCCCUUCGGGGUACACGAGUGGCGAACGGGUGAGUAACACGUGGGUGAUCUGCCCUGCACUUCGGGAUAAGCCUGGGAAACUGGGUCUAAUACCGGAUAGGACCAUGGACUUCACGGUUUGUGGUGGAAAGCUUUUGCGGUGUGGGAUGGGCCCGCGGCCUAUCAGCUUGUUGGUGGGGUAAUGGCCUACCAAGGCGACGACGGGUAGCCGGCCUGAGAGGGUGUCCGGCCACACUGGGACUGAGAUACGGCCCAGACUCCUACGGGAGGCAGCAGUGGGGAAUAUUGCACAAUGGGCGCAAGCCUGAUGCAGCGACGCCGCGUGAGGGAUGACGGCCUUGGUUGUAACGUCUUCAUAGGACGAAGCGCAAGUGACGGUACCGUAUAGAAGAAG